This 492-nucleotide ribosomal RNA is filed under the name uncultured bacterium. RNAcentral's name for it is "partial 16S ribosomal RNA". It matches the Rfam family "Bacterial small subunit ribosomal RNA", at positions 29 to 507 of the family's 1533-position model. The record is from RNAcentral.
AGUGAACGCUGGCGGUAGGCCUAACACAUGCAAGUCGAACGGCAGCACAGUAAGAGUUUGCUCUUACGGGUGGCGAGUGGCGGACGGGUGAGGAAUACAUCGGAAUCUACUUUUUCGUGGGGGAUAACGUAGGGAAACUUACGCUAAUACCGCAUACGACCUACGGGUGAAAGCAGGGGAUCUUCGGACCUUGCGCGAUUGAAUGAGCCGAUGUCGGAUUAGCUAGUUGGCGGGGUAAAGGCCCACCAAGGCGACGAUCCGUAGCUGGUCUGAGAGGAUGAUCAGCCACACUGGAACUGAGACACGGUCCAGACUCCUACGGGAGGCAGCAGUGGGGAAUAUUGGACAAUGGGCGCAAGCCUGACCCAGCCAUACCGCGUGGGUGAAGAAGGCCUUCGGGUUGUAAAGCCCUUUUGUUGGGAAAGAAAGGCAGCAGGUUAAUACCCCGCUGUUCUGACGGUACCCAAAGAAUAAGCACCGGCUAACUUCGUG